RNAcentral lists this ribosomal RNA (253 nucleotides) under uncultured bacterium. RNAcentral describes it as "partial 16S ribosomal RNA". It matches the Rfam family "Bacterial small subunit ribosomal RNA", at positions 524 to 776 of the family's 1533-position model. The record is from RNAcentral.
UACGGAGGGUGCGAGCGUUGUCCGGAUUUAUUGGGUUUAAAGGGUGCGUAGGCGGCUGUUUAAGUCAGCGGUGAAAGUUUUGGGCUCAACCCAGAAAUUGCCAUUGAUACUGGACAGCUUGAGUAUUGGAGGGGUACAUGGAAUUGAUGGUGUAGCGGUGAAAUGCAGAGAGACCAUCAGGAACAACGAUAGCGAAGGCAUUGUACUGGCCAAUAACUGACGCUGAUGCACGAAAGCAUGGGUAGCGAACAGG